This 441-nucleotide ribosomal RNA is filed under the name uncultured bacterium. RNAcentral's name for it is "SSU rRNA". It matches the Rfam family "Bacterial small subunit ribosomal RNA", at positions 26 to 518 of the family's 1533-position model. The record is from RNAcentral.
AGAGCGAACGCUGGCGGCAGGCCUAACACAUGCAAGUCGAGCGCCCCGCAAGGGGAGCGGCAGACGGGAGAGUAACACGUGGGAACGUACCCUUCAGUUCGGAACAACCCAGGGAAACUUGGGCUAAUACCGAAUACGUCCGUAAGGAGAAAGAUUUAUCGCUGAAGGAUCGGCCCGCGUCUGAUUAGCUUGUUGGUGAGGUAAUGGCUCACCAAGGCUACGAUCAGUAGCUGGUCUGAGAGGAUGACCAGCAUCACUGGGACUGAGACACGGCCCAGACUCCUACGGGAGGCAGCAGUGGGGAAUAUUGGACAAUGGGCGCAAGCCUGAUCCAGCCAUGCCGCGUGGAUGAUGAAGGCCUUAGGGUUGUAAAGUCCUUUAACGGGAAGAUAAUGACGGUACCCGUAGAAUAAGCCCGGCUAACUUCGUGCCAGCAGCCGC